UCGGAGGUGGCUUUCUUGGCGUCUGGUUAUCGGAGAAGGAUGGUAGACCAUGGGGAACGGCGAGUCUUGGCUGAGUUAGAGCGAGUUGGGGCUGGGUUAAUUGGGUUGUUGUCUGCGAUUGCUUGCUGAUUUACGGGUCGAGGCGAGGAUUGUGGGUCGAUGAUUUGGAACGACGGUGAGGUGUAGUCGGACGGCUGAUUUUCAGAUUAUUCGCGAGAAAUUAGGAGAAAGAGAAGAAGAAGAGGGAAGAAUAGCGGUUAGGAUUUACUUACUGUUGCGAACAUGAAGUGCAGAGAGAGAUGAUCGAAAGUGUGAGGGGAGGAGAUGAGAAAAUGGAGAGAGCUAAGGAACAGGGGCAGUAUAUUGUGAGGGAUUUUGACUCUCUAUUUUUAAUUGAUAAUAAUGGAAUAUAAUUGAUCUGGAUCAUGAUAUAGUGCAUGAAAUAUAGUUGGGCUUGAUGAUUAGUAUUGGGCAUUAAUCAUUUAUCUCUUGUCGCCUUGAGCU
This 504-nucleotide long non-coding RNA is filed under the name Salvia miltiorrhiza (redroot sage). RNAcentral's name for it is "long non-coding RNA (SMIL_LNC001982)". The record is from RNAcentral. Lineage: Eukaryota; Viridiplantae; Streptophyta; Magnoliopsida; Lamiales; Lamiaceae.